AACGAACGCUGGCGGCAUGCCUAACACAUGCAAGUCGAACGAGACCUUCGGGUCUAGUGGCGCACGGGUGCGUAACGCGUGGGAACCUGCCCUUAGGUUCGGAAUAACUCUCCGAAAGGGGUGCUAAUACCGGAUAAUGUCUUCGGACCAAAGAUUUAUCGCAUUUGGAUGGGCCCGCGUUGGAUUAGCUAGUUGGUAGGGUAAAAGCCUACCAAGGCGACGAUCCAUAGCUGGUCUGAGAGGAUGAUCAGCCACACUGGGACUGGGACACGGCCCAGACUCCUACGGGAUGCAGCAGUGGGGAAUAUUGGACAAUGGGCGAAAUCCUGAUCCAGCAAUGCCGCGUGAGUGAUGAAGGCCUUAGGGUUGUAAAGCUCUUUUACCCGGGAUGAUAAUGACAGUACCGGAAGAAUAAGCUCCGGCUAACUCCGUG
This 433-nucleotide ribosomal RNA is filed under the name uncultured bacterium. RNAcentral's name for it is "partial 16S ribosomal RNA". It matches the Rfam family "Bacterial small subunit ribosomal RNA", at positions 29 to 507 of the family's 1533-position model. The record is from RNAcentral.